This is a long non-coding RNA of Saccostrea cuccullata (small rock oyster), 413 nucleotides long. RefSeq lists it as uncharacterized. The record is from RefSeq and is a predicted model, not a curated record. The transcript is spliced from 2 exons. NCBI's taxonomy places the organism in Eukaryota, Metazoa, Mollusca, Bivalvia, Ostreida, Ostreidae.
GAUGAUAUCCUGACCAAGGAGGAGUACAUGGACCUGUAUGAAGACGUAUGUGCUGGAGACCCGCAAGAUGAUCAGCAAGACGGUGAAUUAGAUCAGAAGAAGGAGGAGUUUGCGGACGACACCGAAUGAAAAUAACCCGAGGACUUUCUAAAAAUGUAUUACUGCUUAAAUAAAAAAUUAUUCCUUAAAGAAUAUUAGACCAUAGUAUGUAUUCCUUUCCCAAAGCAAUAUUCACACAUAAAUAUAGAGAUACUUUCCUUGCCUAAUAGUUCUCAGAAGACACUGAAAAUUACCGUUGUUUACUUUGCCACUUUGACAGUAUGUUAUGUCAUGAUAUUUUUAUUAUAUUCUCUUCUUUACGUUCAUCUCUGUGAAAGCUUUCAUAUAAUCUUUUAAUAAAUUCUAAAGAUAUA